RNAcentral lists this ribosomal RNA (446 nucleotides) under uncultured bacterium. RNAcentral describes it as "bacterial SSU rRNA". It matches the Rfam family "Bacterial small subunit ribosomal RNA", at positions 330 to 792 of the family's 1533-position model. The record is from RNAcentral.
GCCAGACUCCUACGGGAGGCAGCAGUGGGGGAUAUUGCACAAUGGGGGGAACCCUGAUGCAGCGACGCCGCGUGGGUGAAGGAGUAUUUCGGUAUGUAAAGCCCUAUCGGCAGGGAAGAAGCAAGACGGUACCUGACUAAGAAGCCCCGGCUAACUACGUGCCAGCAGCCGCGGUAAUACGUAGGGGGCGAGCGUUAUCCGGAUUCACUGGGUGUAAAGGGAGCGUAGACGGCCAUGCAAGCCAGGGGUGAAAGCCCGGGGCCCAACCCCGGGACUGCCCUUGGAACUGUGCGGCUAGAGUGCGGGAGGGGCAGGCGGAAUUCCUGGUGUAGCGGUGAAAUGCGUAGAUAUACGGAGGAACACCAGUGGCGAAGGCGGAUUGCUGGACAGUAACUGACGCUGAGGCGCGAAAGCGUGAGGAGCAAACAGGAUUAGAUACCCCCGUA